GAUGAAGAACGUAGCGAAAUGCGAUAAGUAAUGUGAAUUGCAGAAUUCAGUGAAUCAUCGAAUCUUUGAACGCACCUUGCGCUCCUUGGUAUUCCGAGGAGCAUGCCUGUUUGAGUGUCAUUAAAUUCUCAACCUCACCAGUUUUGUAACGAGACAGGUGAAGGCUUGGAUGUGGGGGUUUUGCAGGCUGCCUCAGUGCUGGUCUGCUCUCCUGAAAUGCAUUAGCGAGCUCAUAUUGAGCUUCCGUCUAUUGGUGUGAUAAUUAUCUACGCCGUGGAUUGGACUCAUGCUUGCUUCUAACCGUCCGCAAGGACAAUUUACUUGACCAAUUUGACCUCAAAUCAGGUAGGACUACCCGCUGAACUUAAGCAUAUCAAAAGCGGAGGA
Molecule: unclassified non-coding RNA, 387 nt
Filed under: soil metagenome
Description: partial contains 5.8S ribosomal RNA, internal transcribed spacer 2, and large subunit ribosomal RNA
Rfam family: 5.8S ribosomal RNA (bases 1-120)
Source: RNAcentral